AGGUGAAAAGCACCCCGGAAGGGGAGUGAAAGAGAUCCUGAAACCGUGUGCCUACAAGUAGUUAGAGCCCGUUAAUGGGUGAUAGCGUGCCUUUUGUAGAAUGAACCGGCGAGUUACGAUUACGUGCAAGGUUAAGCUUUAGAAGGCGGAGCCGCAGCGAAAGCGAGUCUGAAUAGGGCGAAAUAGUACGUGGUCGUAGACCCGAAACCAGGUGAUCUACCCAUGUCCAGGGUGAAGGUGAGGUAACACUUACUG
This 255-nucleotide ribosomal RNA is filed under the name Lysinibacillus capsici. Its description in RNAcentral is "partial 23S ribosomal RNA". It matches the Rfam family "Bacterial large subunit ribosomal RNA", at positions 512 to 768 of the family's 2925-position model. The record is from RNAcentral. Lineage: Bacteria; Bacillati; Bacillota; Bacilli; Caryophanales; Bacillaceae.